Molecule: ribosomal RNA, 253 nt
Filed under: uncultured bacterium
Lineage: Bacteria
Description: partial 16S ribosomal RNA
Rfam family: Bacterial small subunit ribosomal RNA
Source: RNAcentral
UACGGAGGGUGCGAGCGUUGUCCGGAAUCACUGGGCGUAAAGGGCGCGUAGGUGGCGACUCAAGUCAACGGUGAAAGCUCGACGCUCAACGUCGAGUCGGCCGUCGAAACUGGGACGCUUGAGCACUGUAGAGGCAGAUGGAAUUCCGGGUGUAGCGGUGGAAUGCGUAGAGCUCGUGAGGAAGACCGGUGGCGAAGGCGGAUCUCUGGACGGCCCCUGACGCUGAGGCGCGAAGGCUAGGGGAGCAAACGGG